GACGAACGCUGGCGGCGUGCUUAAUACAUGCAAGUCGAACGGUGAAGGAGUGGUUUUGUGGGGUGGACGAGUGGCGAACGGGUGAGUAACACGUGAGUAACCUGCCCGUGAGUGGGGGAUAACUAUAGGAAACGAGGGCUAAUACCGGAUAGGAGCAGAUGCUGCAUGGCGGGGACUGGAAAGGUGCGGUGGUUGGGGAAGGAGGUGGGGCUGAGUAGCAUGAGGGUGGGGGAGGGGCUAAGCAAGGCUUUGACGGGUAGCCGGCCUGGGAGGGUGACCGGCCCCAUUGGGCCUCAGAUACCGCCCAGACUCCUACGUGAGCCAUCAGUGGAAAAUUUUGCACGAUGCGCGGAGUCAGUAUACAGCAACGCCGCGUCCGAGAGGACGGCCGUCGGGUUGUAAACCGCGUUCGCCUGUGACGUUGCGUGUGUGACGGUAAUGGGUAAAGAAGCACCGGCUAACUACGUG
This 468-nucleotide ribosomal RNA is filed under the name uncultured bacterium. Its description in RNAcentral is "partial 16S ribosomal RNA". It matches the Rfam family "Bacterial small subunit ribosomal RNA", at positions 28 to 507 of the family's 1533-position model. The record is from RNAcentral.